AGGACGAACGCUGGCGGCGUGCUUAACACAUGCAAGUCGAGCGGAAAGGCCCUUCGGGGUACUCGAGCGGCGAACGGGUGAGUAACACGUGAGUAACCUGCCCUAGGCUUUGGGAUAACCCUCGGAAACGGGGGCUAAUACCGGAUAUUCACUUCGCACGGCAUCGUGUGUGGUGGAAAGUUUUUCGGCUUGGGAUGGGCUCGCGGCCUAUCAGCUUGUUGGUGGGGUGAUGGCCUACCAAGGCGACGACGGGUAGCCGGCCUGAGAGGGCGACCGGCCACACUGGGACUGAGACACGGCCCAGACUCCUACGGGAGGCAGCAGUGGGGAAUAUUGCACAAUGGGCGGAAGCCUGAUGCAGCGACGCCGCGUGAGGGAUGAAGGCCUUCGGGUUGUAAACCUCUUUCGACAGGGACGAAGCGCAAGUGACGGUACCUGGAGAAGAAGCGCCGGCCAACUACGCGCCAGCAGCCGC
Molecule: ribosomal RNA, 475 nt
Filed under: uncultured bacterium
Lineage: Bacteria
Description: SSU rRNA
Rfam family: Bacterial small subunit ribosomal RNA
Source: RNAcentral